This 466-nucleotide ribosomal RNA is filed under the name uncultured bacterium. RNAcentral describes it as "partial 16S ribosomal RNA". It matches the Rfam family "Bacterial small subunit ribosomal RNA", at positions 28 to 507 of the family's 1533-position model. The record is from RNAcentral.
GAUGAACGCUGGCGGCGUGCUUAACACAUGCAAGUCGAACGGAAAGGCUCCUGCUUGCAGGGGUACUCGAGUGGCGAACGGGUGAGUAACACGUGGGUGAUCUGCCCUGCACUUCGGGAUAAGCCUGGGAAACUGGGUCUAAUACCGGAUAGGACGAUGGUUUGGAUGCCAUUGUGGAAAGUUUUUUCGGUGUGGGAUGAGCUCGCGGCCUAUCAGCUUGUUGGUGGGGUAAUGGCCUACCAAGGCGUCGACGGGUAGCCGGCCUGAGAGGGUGUACGGCCACAUUGGGACUGAGAUACGGCCCAGACUCCUACGGGAGGCUGCAGUGGGGAAUAUUGCACAAUGGGCGCAAGCCUGAUGCAGCGACGCCGCGUGGGGGAUGACGGCCUUCGGGUUGUAAACUCCUUUCGCUAGGGACGAAGCGCAAGUGACGGUACCUGGAGAAGAAGCACCGGCUAACUACGUG